UAAAGAAUGGCCUGGCUGGCG
Molecule: non-coding RNA, 21 nt
Filed under: Mus musculus (house mouse)
Lineage: Eukaryota; Metazoa; Chordata; Mammalia; Rodentia; Muridae
Source: RNAcentral